This 485-nucleotide ribosomal RNA is filed under the name Arthrobacter agilis. RNAcentral's name for it is "bacterial SSU rRNA". It matches the Rfam family "Bacterial small subunit ribosomal RNA", at positions 78 to 567 of the family's 1533-position model. Lineage: Bacteria; Bacillati; Actinomycetota; Actinomycetes; Micrococcales; Micrococcaceae. The record is from RNAcentral.
CUCUUGUGGGGGGUUAGUGGCGACGGGUGAGUACACGUGAGUACCUGCCCUUGACUCUGGGAUAAGCCUGGGAAACCGGGUCUAAUACUGGAUACGACCUUCUGGCGCAUGCCAUGUUGGUGGAAAGCUUUUGUGGUUUUGGAUGGACUCGCGGCCUAUCAGCUUGUUGGUGGGGUAAUGGCCUACCAAGGCGACGACGGGUAGCCGGCCUGAGAGGGUGACCGGCCACACUGGGACUGACACACGGCCCAGACUCCUACGGGAGGCAGCAGUGGGGAAUAUUGCACAAUGGGCGCAAGCCUGAUGCAGCGACGCCGCGUGAGGGAUGAAGGCCUUCGGGUUGUAAACCUCUUUCAGUAGGGAAGAAGCCGGCCUUUGGGUUGGUGACGGUACCUGCAGAAGAAGCGCCGGCUAACUACGUGCCAGCAGCCGCGGUAAUACGUANGGCGCAAGCGUUAUCCGGAUUUUUUGGGGGGCCUAAAGAA